RNAcentral lists this unclassified non-coding RNA (533 nucleotides) under Hevea brasiliensis (rubber tree). The record is from RNAcentral. Lineage: Eukaryota; Viridiplantae; Streptophyta; Magnoliopsida; Malpighiales; Euphorbiaceae.
CGGAAACAUAAACAUAAGCAUAUCGAUAAAGAUAUUUUACAUGUCCAAGACCUUACACUACAACACUCAGGCACAUACAGAAAGAAUUCAUUUCACUUCUUGGAUUUCAUCAAGAGCGUAGUUGUUGGUGGAGACAUUAGCAUAGUUCACCUUGCUGAAUCGGACCACCACUGGGUAGCGAGUGUUUGGGUCCUGGUCCACUGCCACGACGGACCCAAUCCCAUUGAACCAAUAUGAUUCUUUCCGCAGAAUCUUCACCUUGGUGCCCCUCUUUGGGCCAAUCGGCGGAGGCUUGACCGUCUUAACCUCUGCCGGUGCAGCCGGCGCCGCUGCCGCUGCCGCCUCCUCGGCCCGAACAACCAACCGGCGUGGGCUCGAGUUGGCCCCCUUGAAGAAGGUGAGGGAGCCGGAGCGAGAGGAGGUGGUGGUGGUGGGGAGGCUGGAGGUGAGCACGAAGCUCGAGGCUGCCGAGGCCAUGGAGGUAGCCAUUCUAACCCUAAUUUUCAGGUAUUUGCUGCUCUGUUGGGUGACUG